UACGGGGGGGGCAAGCGUUGUUCGGAAUUACUGGGCGUAAAGGGCUCGUAGGCGGCCAACUAAGUCAUACGUGAAAUCCCUCGGCUUAACCGGGGAACUGCGUCCGAUACUGGAUGGCUUGAGUUCGGGAGAGGGAUGCGGAAUUCCAGGUGUAGCGGUGAAAUGCGUAGAUAUCUGGAGGAACACCGGUGGCGAAGGCGGCAUCCUGGACCGGUACUGACGCUGAGGAGCGAAAGCCAGGGGAGCAAACGGG
RNAcentral lists this ribosomal RNA (253 nucleotides) under uncultured bacterium. RNAcentral describes it as "partial 16S ribosomal RNA". It matches the Rfam family "Bacterial small subunit ribosomal RNA", at positions 524 to 776 of the family's 1533-position model. The record is from RNAcentral.